UGGGGGAUAUUGCACAAUGGGCGAAAGCCUGAUGCAGCGACGCCGCGUGGGGGAUGAAGGCCUUCGGGUUGUAAACUUCUUUUGCUCUGAACAAGGCGCACCAUGGGGUGUGUUGAGUGUAGGGGUUGAUUAGCGCCGGCUAACUACGUGCCAGCAGCCGCGGUAAUACGUAGGGCGCGAGCGUUGUCCGGAAUUAUUGGGCGUAAAGGGCUUGUAGGUGGCUGGUUGCGUCUGUCGUGAAAGCUCAUGGCUUAACUGUGGGUUUGCGGUGGGUACGGGCUGGCUUGAGUGCAGUAGGGGAGGCUGGAAUUCCUGGUGUAGCGGUGGAAUGCGCAGAUAUCAGGAGGAAUACCGGUGGCGAAGGCGGGUCUCUGGGCUGUUACUGACACUGAGGAGCGAAAGCAUGGGGAGCGAACAGGA
Molecule: ribosomal RNA, 420 nt
Filed under: bacterium
Lineage: Bacteria
Description: partial 16S ribosomal RNA
Rfam family: Bacterial small subunit ribosomal RNA
Source: RNAcentral